CGCGAAAACUUUGCAACAAUCGAAAGCUUGACAGGGCUAUCCCGAGUGCCAUCCGCUGAGGAAGGCUUUUACCCAGUCUAGAACGCUGGGGGAAUAAGGAGAGGGCAAGUCUGGUGUCAGCCGCCGCGGUAAUACCAGCUCUCCGAGUGGUGUGGAUGUUUAUUGGGCCUAAAGCAUCCGUAGCUGGCUAAGUUAGUCCCCUGUUAAAUCCACCGAAUUAAUCGUUGGAUUGCGGGGGAUACUGCUUGGCUAGGGGACGAGAGAGGCAGACGGUAUUUCCGGGGUAGGGGUGAAAUCCUAUAAUCCCGGGAAGACCACCAGUGGCGAAGGCUGUCUGCUAGAACGCGCCCGACGGUGAGGGAUGAAAGCUGGGGGAGCGAACCGGAUUAGAUACCCGGGUAGUCCCAGCUGUAAACGAUGCAGACUAGGUGUUUGAACGGCCACGUGCCGUUCUAGUGCCGCAGGGAAGCUGUUAAGUCUGCCGCCUGGGGAGUACGAUCGCAAGAUUGAAACUUAAAGGAAUUGGCGGGGGAGCAC
Molecule: ribosomal RNA, 537 nt
Filed under: uncultured archaeon
Lineage: Archaea
Description: bacterial SSU rRNA
Rfam family: Archaeal small subunit ribosomal RNA
Source: RNAcentral